This 253-nucleotide ribosomal RNA is filed under the name uncultured bacterium. Its description in RNAcentral is "partial 16S ribosomal RNA". It matches the Rfam family "Bacterial small subunit ribosomal RNA", at positions 524 to 776 of the family's 1533-position model. The record is from RNAcentral.
UACGUAGGGGGCAAGCGUUGUCCGGAUUUACUGGGUGUAAAGGGUGCUCAGGCGGGUUUGUAAGUCAGAGGUGAAACUCCGAAGCUUAACUUCGGAACUGCCUUUGAUACUGCAAUCCUGGAGUUUGAGAGAGGCGAGUGGAAUAUCUGGUGUAGCAGUGAAAUGCGUAGAUAUCAGAUAGAACACCAAUGGCGAAGGCAGCUCGCUGGCUCAUAACUGACGCUAAAGCACGAAAGUGUGGGUAGCAAACAGG